AAUGACGUGCUUGACUAAAAGGCCAUCUUGAUAGGAUGGAUUAAGGAAGUAGCCUUCCCGCCAUUG
RNAcentral lists this transfer RNA (66 nucleotides) under Stygiocaris stylifera. RNAcentral describes it as "tRNA-Ile". RNAcentral also lists the same sequence under 1 other name. The record is from RNAcentral. Lineage: Eukaryota; Metazoa; Arthropoda; Malacostraca; Decapoda; Atyidae.